RNAcentral lists this non-coding RNA (117 nucleotides) under Gorilla gorilla gorilla (western lowland gorilla). The record is from Rfam by way of RNAcentral. Lineage: Eukaryota; Metazoa; Chordata; Mammalia; Primates; Hominidae.
GCUGGGCGUGGUGGCUCAUGCCUGUAAUCCCAACACUUUGGGAGGCUGAGGUGGGUGGAUCACCUGAGGUCAGGAGUUUGAGACUAGCCUGGCCAACAUGGUGAAACCCCAUCUCUA